UACGUAGGGUGCGAGUGUUAAUCGGAAUUACUGGGCGUAAAGCGUGCGCAGGCGGUUCUCCAAGUCCGUUGUGAAAGCCCCGGGCUUAACCUGGGAAUGGCAGUGGAAACUAGGGGACUGGAAUCUGGCAGAGGGGGGUGGAAUGCCGCGUGUAGCAGUGAAAUGCGUAGAUAUGCGGAGGAACACCGAUGGCGAAGGCAAUCCCCUGGACCUGUACUGACGCUCAUGCACGAAAGCGUGGGGAGCAAACAGG
Molecule: ribosomal RNA, 253 nt
Filed under: uncultured bacterium
Lineage: Bacteria
Description: partial 16S ribosomal RNA
Rfam family: Bacterial small subunit ribosomal RNA
Source: RNAcentral